Ribosomal RNA from Cricetulus griseus (Chinese hamster), 106 nucleotides. Lineage: Eukaryota; Metazoa; Chordata; Mammalia; Rodentia; Cricetidae. The record is from Ensembl.
GUCUAUGGCCAUACUACCCUGAACGUUGAUCUCAGAAGCUAAACAUAGUCCAGCCAGGUUAGUACUUGGAUGGGGGACAACUUGGAAAUACUGGGUGCUGUAGGUU